This 555-nucleotide long non-coding RNA is filed under the name Marmota monax (woodchuck). Lineage: Eukaryota; Metazoa; Chordata; Mammalia; Rodentia; Sciuridae. The record is from RNAcentral.
GGAGGCUUUUGGAGGCACGAUGCAGGAGGGAGGGACUGCGGAACCCAAGUGCCUAAAGACACACCCUUCCAACCCUUCUGGGUCGAAUUUAGAACCCCCAACGCCAUCCUCAACUCCGCCAUCUGGCUUUUUCUCUUGUUCCCCUCUCCGCUUUGUGCCACCCCAGACUCCUUCUUCUCCAAGUAAAAUGCAAUAAGAGGAAUCCAUAGUUUUCUUCCAGGGAACGAGAACCGAAAGCAGGAAGGUGGAGGGCUGCCUUUUGUCGUUCCCCUUUAAACAGCAGUGUUUCACUUUUCUUUUUGUUGCUGUACAUCCUACGUAGUUCCAAGGGGAACUCUCCCUCUUUCUCUCUUUUUCUUCCUUUCUUUUUUUACCCCUUUCCUUUCUCUUUUUUUUUCUAAAUAAAAAUUUCCCCCAUGUUGCAAAGUUUUUAUAUAUUUAAACUACCUAUCAUGCCUGUUGCACUCAGGUGUUCGUUAUCUCCCCAUCCCCAUCCCUUUUCUACCUCAGAUCUGUAUGACCACUCACUGCCCCUCCCUUUGCCAAAGCAGUAUC